AGACUUGAGUGCAGAAGAGGACAGUGGAACUCCAUGUGUAGCGGUGAAAUGCGUAGAUAUAUGGAAGAACACCAGUGGCGAAGGCGGCUGUCUGGUCUGUAACUGACGCUGAGGCUCGAAAGCAUGGGUAGCGAACAGGAUUAGAUACCCUGGUAGUCCAUGCCGUAAACGAUGAUUACUAAGUGUUGGAGGGUUUCCGCCCUUCAGUGCUGCAGCUAACGCAUUAAGUAAUCCGCCUGGGGAGUACGACCGCAAGGUUGAAACUCAAAAGAAUUGACGGGGGCCCGCACAAGCGGUGGAGCAUGUGGUUUAAUUCGAAGCUACGCGAAGAACCUUACCAGGUCUUGACAUCUUCUGCCAACCUAAGAGAUUAGGCGUUCCCUUCGGGGACAGAAUGACAGGUGGUGCAUGGUUGUCGUCAGCUCGUGUCGUGAGAUGUUGGGUUAAGUCCCGCAACGAGCGCAACCCUUAUUACUAGUUGCCAGCAUUCAGUUGGGCACUCUAGUGAGACUGCCGGUGACAAACCGGAGGAAGGUGGGGACGACGACAAAUCAUCAUGCCCCUUAUGACCUGGGCUACACACGUGCUACAAUGGAUGGUACAACGAGUCGCGAAACCGCGAGGUUUAGCUAAUCUCUUAAAACCAUUCUCAGUUCGGACUGUAGGCUGCAACUCGCCUACACGAAGUCGGAAUCGCUAGUAAUCGCGGAUCAGCAUGCCGCGGUGAAUACGUUCCCGGGCCUUGUACACACCGCCCGUCA
This 761-nucleotide ribosomal RNA is filed under the name Pediococcus acidilactici. RNAcentral describes it as "bacterial SSU rRNA". It matches the Rfam family "Bacterial small subunit ribosomal RNA", at positions 638 to 1399 of the family's 1533-position model. The record is from RNAcentral. Lineage: Bacteria; Bacillati; Bacillota; Bacilli; Lactobacillales; Lactobacillaceae.